AUGCUGCUGCCCCUGGCAUGCCUGCACGGCCGCGUUGCACAGUGCCUUACCGCCCUUCUUGUGCUUGCAGAGCCGCCCCUGAAGCCCCAGCGCGGCGUGGCGCGGCGCAGCUCUGCACUGAGGCCACCCCAGCCGCCCUGCCCCCGCCGCCAACAGCAAUGCCGCAGCCGUGGGCAGGAAGGCCAGCCCACGCAGCCCUCCCCGCAUCCCGGCCCCCGCGCCGCCACCGCCCGUGCCCGCGCCUCCUGCGCCCUGCAACAACAAUGCAGAGAGCACCAACUGGAAGUCCUGCCACCUCACCCUUCGCGAGAGGAACAUGCUGAUGUUCAACAGCGAGCUCAUGGCUGACGUCCACUUCGUCGUAGGGCCCCUGGGCGUGACCAGGAGGGUACCUGCCCACAAGUACGUCUUGGCUGUUGGCAGCUCUGUCUUCUAUGCCAUGUUUUACGGCGACCUUGCAGAAGUCAAGUCAGAAAUCCACAUACCGGAUGUGGAGCCCACAGCUUUUUUGAUCUUGUUAAAGUACAUGUACAGUGACGAGAUUGAUCUUGAAGCUGACACUGUGCUGGCCACUCUCUAUGCUGCUAAGAAGUACAUUGUCCCCGCGUUGGCAAAAGCCUGCGUCAACUUUCUGGAGACAAGUCUGGAAGCCAAAAAUGCUUGCGUCCUGCCAUCUCAGAGUCGGCUAUUUGAGCAGCCUGAGCUGACCCAGUGUUGCUGGGAGGUCAUCGAUGCACAGGCAGAGAUGGCCCUGCGGUCUGAGGGCUUCUGUGAAAUCGACUGGCAAACACUGGAGAUCAUCCUGACCUGGGAGGCCCUCAACAACAAGGAGGCAGUCCUACAUUGGGCUGAGGCAGAAUGCAAGAGGCAGGGCCUGCCAGUCACCCCACGCAACAAAAGGCAUGUGUUGGGGCGAGCCCUCUAUCUGGUCUGAAUUCCAACCAUGACCCUGGAGGAGUUUGCCAAUGGUGCUGCCCAGUCAGACAUCCUGACACUGGAGGAGACCCAUCACAUCUUCCUGUGGUACACAGCUGCCAAUAAGCCCCGCCUGGACUUCCCUCUGACCAAGAGAAAGGGCCUCGCCCCACAGAGGUGCCACCGCUUCCAAUCUUCUGCCCACUGCAGCAACCAGUGGCGGUACCGUGGGUGCUGUGACAGCAUCCAGUUUGCCGUGGACAGAAGGGUAUUUAUUGCAGGGCUUGGCCUGUAUGAGUCCAGCUCUGGAAAGGCCGAGUACAGUGUAAAGAUUGAACUCAAGCGGCUGGGGCUGGUCCUGGCUCAGAAGUUGACUAAGUUUGUAUCAGACGGAUCCAGUAACACCUUCUCAGUCUGGUUUGAACACCCAGUCCAGGUUGAACAAGACAGCUUCUAUACGGCCAGCGCUGUCCUGGAUGGCAGCGAGCUCAGCUACUUUGGGCAGGAGGGGAUGACAAAAGUGCAGUGUGGGAAGGUGACCUUCCAGUUCCAGUGCUCCUCGGACAGCACCAAUGGGACGGGGGUCCAGGGCGGGCAGAUCCCUGAGCUCAUCUUCUAUGCCUGACACAUUGUGCAGUGGGAAGGCUAUGCCACUAGCCCUCUGCAGUAGCCAGACCUGAGUACAUGGAGCAAGGCGGAGGGUACUGCCUCACAACUGUGGAAGACCCUACUUACUUUGUAUCUCUGGGUAUAUAGUCAGCUAUAGCCCAAUGGUUAUGAAAUAGACCCCUUUUCUACCCAGCCAGAGCUCAGCAUCUGAAUCUCAGACAUCACCGGGACACUGGGGAUGCACAUCUGAGGCAGAGGGCAGAUUUAGGGUAUAAGGCAGGCCCCAAGUCCCCUCUCAGUGGCACCUACACUGCCUGCUUCCAGGGGCAGGAUGUUCCUCCCACCCUCUUGGGUUCUAAGGGUUGUUCCAAGCUUAAUAUGAGACUUUGCCUUCAAAUCUAAAAUUAGUGAAAAAUUGCUUGAA
RNA transcript from Nycticebus coucang (slow loris), 1948 nucleotides. It is a transcript of the gene named BTB/POZ domain-containing protein 6-like, with no coding region annotated. Lineage: Eukaryota; Metazoa; Chordata; Mammalia; Primates; Lorisidae. The record is from RefSeq and is a predicted model, not a curated record. The transcript has 2 exons.